AACAAGGAUUCCCUUAGUAAUGGCGAAUGAACAGGGAUAAGCUCAAAAUUAAAAUCUCAAUAUUUCAUAUUGCGAAUUGUAAUUUAUAGAAUUUGAAUCAGUAUUAAAUUUAACUUAAGUUGGCUGGAAAGCCACUACAUAGAAGGUGAUAUACCUGUAAAUAGUUAAAAGCUUAAUAUAUUAGUAUUCAUUUUCAAAGAGUCAGGUUGUUUGGGACUGCAGCCUAAAAUGGGAGGUAAAUUUCUUCUAAAGCUAAAUAUAGACAAGAGACCGAUAGCGAACAAGUACCGUGAGGGAAAGAUGAAAAGAACCUUGAAAAGGGGUUUAAAAGAAAGUGAAAUUGUUAAAAGGGAAACGUUUAAAAUGGGCAAAUGAUGUAAUAAAAAAUAUUUAUUUUUAAAUACUAAUUUAUUAUAUUUGUGGCCAAUGAGNAUUUUAAAUUAUAAAAAAUGAUAGGUUAGGAGGUAUAUUGAAUGAAAAUUUAAUAACUUAUAACUAAUCUGUUUUAAAUAUAUUUUAAGAUUUUUAAUUUUAUUAAAACUUUUGAUAUUUUAUUAUGUUUAAUGAUUUAGAAAAUAGUAAUAUAGUCUUUUUAUUAAAUAUAUUAAAAUGUUAAUAGGUUUNAUAUAAAUUGGUCAUUACUUUUUUAAACGACCCGUCUUGAAACACGGACCAAGGAGUCUAACAUUUCUGCGAGUAGCUAAGUUAUUUAAACUUAUAUGCGAAAUGAAAGUAAGUUCAAGGUAGGAUUAUUAAAAUAUAUUUUAAUAUGCACUAUCAACCAAUCUAUUAGGUUUUUAUCUAUAGAAUUGAGUUAGAGCAAAAAUGUUGGGACCCGAAAGAUGGUGAACUAUGCCUGAAUAGGGUGAAGCCAGAGGAAACUCUGGUGGAGGCUCGUAGCGAUUCUGACGUGCAAAUCGAUCGUCAAAUUUGGGUAUAGGGGCGAAAGACUAAU
RNAcentral lists this ribosomal RNA (955 nucleotides) under Neoconidiobolus lachnodes. Its description in RNAcentral is "eukaryotic LSU rRNA". It matches the Rfam family "Eukaryotic large subunit ribosomal RNA", at positions 67 to 935 of the family's 3401-position model. Lineage: Eukaryota; Fungi; Entomophthoromycota; Entomophthoromycetes; Entomophthorales; Neoconidiobolaceae. The record is from RNAcentral.